AUUUGCUAACUGUACUAGAGCUAGGCAAACCCAUAGGGCAAACCUCUCAUCAUGAUGUAAUUUUGGAAUAAAAUUGGUAAUAGGUAAUUUUGGAAUAGACAAGUAUUGAAGUAAGUCUGUCUAGAGAGGAACAUGGGAGUCCACGGACUAUGGGAAUUGAUUCAGUCGACUGGUCGACCUGUCAGCCUUGCUUCACUUGAAGGCAAGAUUCUUGGUGUUGAUGUAAGUAUUUGGCUACACCAGGCAGUUCGAGGUAUGCGAGACCAGCAUGGCACAAUGAUGCCAAAUGCUCAUUUAGUCAGCCUCUUCAAUCGAAUCUGCAAACUUCUCUUCUACAAGAUUAAACCUGUGUUUGUGUUUGAUGGUGGCGUACCUGAACUAAAGAAACAAACUACGGCUGCACGACGCGAGAAGAGUGGAACCGCUGAGAAGAAGUCAUUGAAGACAGCAGAGAAGAUUCUAUAUAACCUAAUACAUGGGCAGGCCAUACAAUCACAAAUAGACAAGUUGGAGGACGACCCAAAUGGAAAGUCUAUCCCAAGCAAAGCCACUAAAUCGCCUGUGUCUGCCCGUCAGGGUGACAAUGAUAUGUUCCAUUUACCACCGAUGACGAUUGAUCUGGAAGGGGACCAGAUCGCUGAGAGAAACGAGGACGAGUAUUCAUGGGAGGAGAGGAUGAUCGCACGCGGGGCGAUACACGACAGCUACUACAAUGUGAACGACGUCGAUGUGAACGCGUCCGACUUCUGCAGCCUCCCGCCGGAGCUCCAGCACGAGAUUCUCGUCGAGAUGAAAGAACGUAACAAGCAUCUUACCGAUACUGAAGAACUCCCGCAAGAAAGCAACGAGUUCUCCAGUUUUCAAAUCGGCGCGCUUCUCAAGCGGUCGAAACUCACCAAGCACAUAUACGACUUACGUAAAGAGAUGAGGAGCCAGAGCAGUGGAGACGUACCCGUGAUUUUAGGUAGAGAAGGGGGAGAAGUAGAGUGUCACCAGCUAGCAUCCGAGGCAUCCGCACACUACAUCCUUGUCAAAGGUCACAGCAAACUCAACCCAGGCACUUCCGCUGAUAGAAUCAACAUUGAACAAAAGGAGAAACCUACGGAAGAUGUUGGUCUGGAGGUACCUGUGGGCGAUGCCCCAGAUGUGACAUGUUCUCAACCAGGAAUCCUAAGUCACGAUGAGCAGCUGGAUGACAGCAAGUAUGCUGCUGCUGGCGGUUUUAUCGCAGACGACGAUGACGAUGUUGUCAGUCGGGUGAAUUGCGCUGAACCUGUGAUGUCGUGGGAUCGACAAGCUCCACCAGUGGCCACGUCAGUUGUUGAUACAAGCACACGCUCUCAGAUGAUCCCAUCAAUGGAACCCUCCGCAAGCCUCAAAACAAGUCGGAGUCCAGAUGCGAGAGAUAUAGUUUCCGACGCUCCUGAAAGAACAACGUUAAACGUAACGAGUCCAAAUGCUUCACCUAUAAAAUAUAGCAGUGGGAAACCAAUGGGACCGACCAGCCUGGAUUCAUCAGAUCAAAGUGUUAGUUAUAAGAAGGAGCCGGAGGGCAUGAAAGAGAGGAAGCCAGAUGGUGUUAGGGAGACUUCAGAACUCACAACGUCUAAUGACAACCAUGAAGCUGACUCAUCACAGGAUGAUGAAUUUAUUGAGGUAACAUUCAAUCCAAACCAAAUGACAGAAGAUGAACUCUUCCCAGCGAGUGUGUUUGAGGAAGCGGUGGAAGAUGCCUCAGAGACUGAGCACCCAGAGCCAUCUGGCGAGGAAAUCGGCCAUGAAAAACCUGAAUUAGUAACCCUGGAUGAUGACAGUGAAGCACUGAAGAGUGAAAUGUCUAAGGAGGAACUGAUUGACAUUCAGAACGUGUUGGAAGAGGAAGCGGUCGCACUGAAGAAGAGCAAUGUGCAGCAGAAGAAACAGGCUGCUACAGUUACUGAUUACAUGUACGCUGAUGCACAGGAGCUGUUGCAGUUGUUUGGGAUUCCUUACAUUGUUGCCCCUAUGGAGGCGGAGGCUCAGUGCGCAUAUCUCGACAUGACUGGGCAGACCGACGGAUCCAUCACAGACGACAGUGACAUCUGGCUGUUUGGAGCGAAACGUGUCUACAGAAACUUCUUCAAGCAGGACAAAGAUGUUGAGAGCUAUCGUGCUGAGGACUUGGUCACAGACCUUGGUCUGAGCCGACACAAACUCGUGAACAUGGCCCUCCUGUUAGGCAGUGACUACACGGCGGGGGUACGGGGCGUCGGAUCGGUGCUGGCCAUGGAGAUUCUAUGUGACUUACCAGCCAGUGACUCAUUCGAUGCUCUCCUCAAGCUCAGGACGUUAUAUGAUGAGAUGAAAGGCCAGGAGAAGAUACCACAGGAGACCAAAGUCAAGUCGAAAAUUAGAAAGUUGGAGUUAAACCCAGGUUUUCCCAGCAGGGCUGUCUAUGAGGCUUAUUGCGAGCCCACCGUUGAUGAAUCGAUGGAAGCGUUUCUGUGGUCGUCUCCCAGUCUGUGUGAUCUCCGGAUAUUUGCAGCAGAUCGACUCGGGUGGACAAAGAUAAAGACUGACAACCUGCUUCUCCCCAUCAUGAAAAAACUAGCCGAGACAUCGGUCAAGAUUGACAGAUUCUUCGUGGUUCAACCCUCCGAAAGACGUAAAUUGAAAAGCAAGAGAGUGAAGCGUGCCCUCACUCGUGCCAGAAACCACGAUUCACAAGGUGAACAGAGUGACAAGAGCAAAGUAGACGGGUGUGCCAAUGAUUCAGUAGGUCUGUCUGGGAAGAGCUCUGAUAGAGCUGGCAGCAGUAAUGAAACUUCAACAUCGAAACAGAUUAGAGAACUGAGACCCAGAGGUGAAAAGCAUGCUACUAAACGUGGUUUCACAUCAAAGGCUGAUCAUCCGCGAAUCAAGGUAGCGGUGAAACACAGUAAAAUUGAUCGAUCAUCAGCCAAUGUUGCUGCAGUAAAGUUAUCAGACAGUGGAAGUUCUUCCGAUUGACGAAUCUGAAGAAAUAUAUGACUAAUAUACAAUCUGAAAGCUAGAACUGGCAUUCGAGCAAGCUGUAUUUACAAGUCAGUAUGAUCUCAUUAAAUUAAUUAGAUCUAAAAUCUCCACUAUGUCCAACUAUGCAUUGAUUCGUUAAUUGAGAGUGUAAUAGAGAUGGCUUGGUUUUAUUUCGUCUUGUGAUUAAUUUAUUGCAAAGUAUUUCAUCCAGCAACUCGUGAAUUCAAUUCUUGGAAUUUAACUUUAUUGGAGUGAUAUUCACCCGUUAACUGCCAAAAGUGCUUUUUAAAAGUGUAAAUAGAGUAUAGAUAUAUUCGUCGUGUUGUGCGUAGCCACGCAGUCGGUCUGGAUUGUGUGGGGAUGUUUCUCGUUGAAUAUUAUAUUGUGAAACAUGAAUAAAAAUUCAAUUUAUGGCAUUUAU
RNAcentral lists this unclassified non-coding RNA (3415 nucleotides) under Priapulus caudatus. RNAcentral describes it as "dNA repair protein complementing XP-G cells homolog, transcript variant X3". Lineage: Eukaryota; Metazoa; Priapulida; Priapulimorpha; Priapulimorphida; Priapulidae. The record is from RNAcentral.